GCUUAACACAUGCAAGUCGAACGAGAGAAGAGAAGCUUGCUUUUCUGAUCUAGUGGCGGACGGGUGAGUAACACGUGAGCAAUCUGCCUUUCAGAGGGGGAUACCGAUUGGAAACGAUCGUUAAUACCGCAUAAUAUAAUUGAACCGCAUGAUUUGAUUAUCAAAGAUUUAUCGCUGAAAGAUGAGCUCGCGUCUGAUUAGCUAGUUGGUAAGGUAACGGCCUACCAAGGCGACGAUCAGUAGCCGGACUGAGAGGUUGAUCGGCCACAUUGGGACUGAGACACGGCCCAGACUCCUACGGGAGGCAGCAGUGGGGAAUAUUGCACAAUGGAGGAAACUCUGAUGCAGCGAUGCCGCGUGAGGGAAGAAGGUUUUAGGAUUGUAAACCUCUGUCUUCAGGGACGAAAAAAGACGGUACCUGAGGAGGAAGCUCCGGCUAACUACGUGCCAGCAGCCGCGGUAAUACGUAGGGAGCGAGCGUUGUCCGGAAUUACUGGGUGUAAAGGGAGCGUAGGCGGGAUCGCAAGUCAGAUGUGAAAACUAUGGGCUUAACCCAUAAACUGCAUUUGAAACUGUGGUUCUUGAGUGAAGUAGAGGUAAGCGGAAUUCCUAGUGUAGCGGUGAAAUGCGUAGAUAUUAGGAGGAACAUCAGUGGCGAAGGCGGCUUACUGGGCUUUAACUGACGCUGAGGCUCGAAAGCGUGGGGAGCAAACAGGAUUAGAUACCCUGGUAGUCCACGCCGUAAACGAUGAUUACUAGGUGUGGGGGGACCGACCCCUUCCGUGCCGCAGCAAACGCAAUAAGUAAUCCACCUGGGGAGUACGACCGCAAGGUUGAAACUCAAAGGAAUUGACGGGGGCCCGCACAAGCAGUGGAGUAUGUGGAUUAAUUCGAAGCAACGCGAAGAACCUUACCAGGUCUUGACAUCGUAUGCAUAGCUCAGAGAUGAGUGAAAUCUCUUCGGAGACAUAUAGACAGGUGGUGCAUGGUUGUCGUCAGCUCGUGUCGUGAGAUGUUGGGUUAAGUCCCGCAACGAGCGCAACCCUUACUGUUAGUUGCUACGCAAGAGCACUCUAGCAGGACUGCCGUUGACAAAACGGAGGAAGGUGGGGAUGACGUCAAAUCAUCAUGCCCCUUAUGACCUGGGCCUCACACGUACUACAAUGGCUGUCAACAGAGGGAUGCAAAGCCGCGAGGUGGAGCGAACCCCUAAAAGCAGUCUUAGUUCGGAUUGUAGGCUGCAACCCGCCUGCAUGAAGUCGGAAUUGCUAGUAAUCGCAGAUCAGCAUGCUGCGGUGAAUACGUUCCCGGGCCUUGUACACACCGCCCGUCACGCCAUGGGAGUCGGUAACACCCGAAGCCUGUAGUCUAACCGCAAGGAGGACGCAGUCGAAGGUGGGAUUGAUGACUGGGGUGAA
RNAcentral lists this ribosomal RNA (1418 nucleotides) under uncultured organism. RNAcentral's name for it is "16S ribosomal RNA". It matches the Rfam family "Bacterial small subunit ribosomal RNA". The record is from RNAcentral.